This 301-nucleotide ribosomal RNA is filed under the name uncultured bacterium. RNAcentral describes it as "partial 16S ribosomal RNA". It matches the Rfam family "Bacterial small subunit ribosomal RNA", at positions 509 to 807 of the family's 1533-position model. The record is from RNAcentral.
CAGUAGCCGCGGUAAUACAGAGGGUGCGAGCGUUAAUCGGAUUUACUGGGCGUAAAGCGUGCGUAGGCGGCUUUUUAAGUCGGAUGUGAAAUCCCUGAGCUUAACUUAGGAAUUGCAUUCGAUACUGGGAAGCUAGAGUAUGGGAGAGGAUGGUAGAAUUCCAGGUGUAGCGGUGAAAUGCGUAGAGAUCUGGAGGAACACCGAUGGCGAAGGCAGCCCCCUGGGCCAAUACUGACGCUCAUGCACGAAAGCGUGGGGAGCAAACAGGAUUAGAUACCCCUGUAGUCCCUGUCUCUUAUAC